Molecule: ribosomal RNA, 274 nt
Filed under: uncultured bacterium
Lineage: Bacteria
Description: partial 16S ribosomal RNA
Rfam family: Bacterial small subunit ribosomal RNA
Source: RNAcentral
AUACGAAGGUCCCAAGCGUUAUUCGGAAUCACUGGGCGUAAAGAGUACGUAGGCGGUUUGGUAAGUCAGGUGUGUAAUCCCGAAGCUCAACUUCGGAACUGCAUCCGAUACUGCCAGACUAGAGUAAUGGAGAGGCAGGUGGAAUUCUCGGUGUAGCAGUGAAAUGCGUGGAUAUCGAGAGGAAGACCAAUGGCGAAGGCAGCCUGCUGGACAUUUGCUGACGCUGGGGUACGAAGGCUAGGGGAGCGAAAGGGAGUAGAUACCCCAGUAGUCC